This 108-nucleotide small nuclear RNA is filed under the name Choloepus hoffmanni (Hoffmann's two-fingered sloth). The record is from RNAcentral. Lineage: Eukaryota; Metazoa; Chordata; Mammalia; Pilosa; Megalonychidae.
GUGCUUGCUUCAGCAGCACAUAUACUAAAAUUGGAAUGGUACAGAGAAGAUUAUCAUGGCCCCUGCACAAGGAUGAUAUGCAAAAUUCAUGAAGCGUUCCAAAUUAAA